Long non-coding RNA from Syngnathoides biaculeatus (alligator pipefish), 1573 nucleotides. RefSeq lists it as uncharacterized. Lineage: Eukaryota; Metazoa; Chordata; Actinopteri; Syngnathiformes; Syngnathidae. The record is from RefSeq and is a predicted model, not a curated record. The transcript is spliced from 4 exons.
CCCUGAACUGGUUGCCAGCCAAUCGCAGAGCACAUAGAGACAAACAGCCGCACUCACAAUCACGCCUACGGGCAAUUUGGAGUGUCCAAAUUAAUGUUGCGUGUUUUUGGAAUGUGGGAGGAAACCCACGCGGGAACGGGGGAGAACAUGCAAACUACACAGGUGAGUCCAACCCAAGAUUGGACCCAGGACAUCAGAACUGUGAGACCCAACGCUUUACUAGCUGCUCCACCGUGCCGCCCGUGUGGGCAUCAUUUUCAGACAAUUUGCUGCAUCAAUUGUAUAACAGUUGCUUUUUACGAAUCACAGAACGAACUAAAAUAUUGCUAAUUGGGCGAACAUUUCUUGUAUCCGUUCUGUGCCGGCCAUUGCCGCCAUUUUGUGUCGGGGGCACUACGAUACUCUAUGAAAAAUAACGGGCAAGAGGAAGGGAAGGAAAGGACCCAGAGAAUUUUCUACAACUUCGAGUGGAAAGCUGUCGCUCCUUCGGAUAAAUCUGCAAGGACAACGAUACUUGUCAAGAAAAGAAACUUGCAAGCCAAGAAGUCAAGGGCGGCGGCCAGCAUCUCGAUGCACUUGUCUCGGACGGAGUCGCCGGUGGUCAGGUGUGGCGGCAGCGGGUCUCCGGCGGCUGUGAAACCAGAACACUCCCCCGGUCUCACGUAACACCGCGGCACUUGUCCGCUCAGAACUUUUAAUUGCAUCGAUUCCCGUUGGAGAGAAGCCAAGACGAAAGCGGGUAAACACGGACCAGAGAGAGCCCACGGUGGUAAUCCCCACACAAAAGGCCGACGUCACGCGCAAUGGCAGACGCGGCGGCUUCGCGCCAGUAAUUUCCUCUUUUUAAAACGAGAGGCAAUCGCGCUCGUACCGGUCCACGCGGCGCGUAAGUGCGCCCGUAAAAUGUUUACGAGAGAGUGAAGUUCAUCUCGGGAUUGACCGCUGUUAGCUUUAUAAACCGCACGCACAAAAAACACUUGGACGCGCGCGUCAUAAUGUUUCCCCUCAAAAAGGUGCGCGCGCAUCCGGGACGACGGGGCUUUUUCGGUCCCCCAUAAUCCUCACAUCGCCAUGGCGACAGCAUCCCUCCGUGUCACUCGUCACGGUGGGGGACUAUAAAUAGCCCGGCUGAUUGGCAGCUGCGCAUCCUGGGAAAGAAAAGACGCGUUUCGCCUGAAUGUGAAACACUCGCCGAAAGCGCAAAGAGGCCAGAUAAAUAUUAAUCCGCUUGACAUUAUCGGGUUUCUCCACGCUCCCAUGGCCGGAGUGACUCACGCGUGUACACAACAUGAGCGAUUUGGUAGUUAGCAUUUAUUAUCGGAUCAUAUAUCUUAUUUAUAGACUGGGCUGACGUUAACAUUUCGGAUUUUUUAUUUUUUUUUCUUCAUAAUAAUCUGAAAAGGUUUACCGUCGUGCGAUUUUGAAACAAAGGCUUGGAAUUGGCUUCAGGCGACCUAAUAAUAAAAUGUACGCAAUGUAAAAUUUUUGCCUUAAGGGUUAUUAGAAAUGUCAUCAUUACUUUAGAAGUCUAUGAAGUACCGAUUGCGGUAAGCAAAUAAAUGCGUUUACUCAA